RNAcentral lists this ribosomal RNA (399 nucleotides) under uncultured bacterium. RNAcentral describes it as "bacterial SSU rRNA". It matches the Rfam family "Bacterial small subunit ribosomal RNA", at positions 28 to 417 of the family's 1533-position model. The record is from RNAcentral.
GACGAACGCUGGCGGCGUGCCUAAUACAUGCAAGUCGAACGAACGGAUAAAGAGCUUGCCCUUUUGAAGUUAGUGGCGGACGGUGAGUAACACGUGGGUAACCUGCCUCACAGCUGGGGAUAACAUCGAGAAAUCGAUGCUAAUACCGAAUGUGCUGAACAUCAUAAGAUGUUCAAGUGAAAGACGGUUUCGGCUGUCACUGUGAGAUGGACCCGCGCUGGAUUAGCUAGUUGGUAAGGUAAUGGCUUACCAAGGCGACGAUCCAUAGCCGACUUGAGAGGGUGAUCGGCCACAUUGGGACUGAGACACGGCCCAAACUCCUACGGGAGACAGCAGUAGGGAAUCUUCGGCAAUGGACGAAAGUCUGACCGAGCAACGCCGCGUGAGCGAAGAAGGCCU